Molecule: long non-coding RNA, 921 nt
Filed under: Manihot esculenta (cassava)
Lineage: Eukaryota; Viridiplantae; Streptophyta; Magnoliopsida; Malpighiales; Euphorbiaceae
Description: long non-coding RNA (MESC_LNC004655)
Source: RNAcentral
UUUUUAAAAUUGCUCCCAGAGGAAGGUAAGUUCUGUUCUACUUCAUCUUAUCUUCUACUUCAAAAAAAUAAAAAAUAAAAAAUAAUAAAAAAAAUAAUAAAAUAUAUAAAUAAAAUGAAAACCUAAUUCUUUCUCUCUCCUAUCAUCUUCAUCUUCUAUCUUUUUCUUUUUUUUUUCUUCCCUGCAGAAUGGCCACACUGACGAUGCCGAAGAGACCCACGCCGCUGACGCUUCAACCAGUCGUCGUUGCUCGUCGUGUCGACACUGGACGACGCCGAGGGUCCCAUCAAACGCGAUCUCCCUCACUGGACGUAGCCUUCGGGCAAGCCUCCUUCCUGGUUGCGAGACCCGUGCGACCUUCCUCACCAGCCUCUCCUUCCUCGUUGGUCGCAGCCCCUUCCGUGCGUUCCUCCUCGCCGGCCGCCACCUCCUCGGCGCCGAUACUGCCACCUCCGCCGCCGUCAACCUCCUCGCCGAUUGCAGCCACACGCCAGUUUUUGCAGAUGAGAUGAGUUAUGAUGAUGAGGAGGUGAAACCUCAGAUCUUGAAGCAAAUACAGGAUCGAAAAAUGCAACCCAACCACCAUCAGCUUGAGUUUUAUGCGACUUACUCCUCAGGGAAGUUUUCUUUAACUUACUUUUAUUUUAUUUUGUAAACUUCCCCGUUGAUUGAUUUUUUUUUUCUUUUUCCACAUUGAGGACAAUGUGAGGAGUAAGUGUGGGGGGAGAUAUGGUAUGGAAAUUGAAGUGUUUUUUUUUAUUUAUUGAUGAGAUUGAUUGAUGAUUGAUGAAUAUUCUGCAAUUUUUGGGAAUUUUUAUUCUUUUUCUGCCAUUUUUCUUUGAGUUUUUGGUGUUUGAGUUAGAGGCCUAUAAACACAUCUAUUUUUAUGAUUCUCAGCAGUUUCUCCGCACUUGCACUUGC